This 450-nucleotide ribosomal RNA is filed under the name uncultured Glomeromycotina. RNAcentral's name for it is "SSU rRNA". It matches the Rfam family "Eukaryotic small subunit ribosomal RNA", at positions 569 to 1017 of the family's 1831-position model. The record is from RNAcentral. Lineage: Eukaryota; Fungi; Glomeromycota.
AGCAGCCGCGGUAAUUCCAGCUCCAAUAGCGUAUAUUAAAGUUGUUGCAGUUAAAAAGCUCGUAGUUGAAUUUCGGGAUUGACGUGACGGUCGUGCCUUAAGGGGUAUGAACUGUCGCAGUUGAUUUCUCACCUUCUGGAGAAGCUUGAUGUCCUUAAUUGGGUGUCAUGUGGAACUAGGACCUUUACCUUGAAAAAAUUAGAGUGUUUAAAGCAGGCAUUUUGCUCGAAUACAUUAGCAUGGAAUAAUAGAAUAGGACGGCAUGGUUCUAUUUUGUUGGUUUCUAGGAUCACCGUAAUGAUUAAUAGGGAUAGUUGGGGGCAUUAGUAUCCAAUUGUCAGAGGUGAAAUUCUUGGAUUUAUUGAAGACUAACUACUGCGAAAGCAUUUGCCAAGGAUGUUUUCAUUAAUCAAGAACGAAAGUUAGGGGAUCGAAGACGAUCAGAUACCG